Molecule: long non-coding RNA, 966 nt
Filed under: Canis lupus familiaris (dog)
Lineage: Eukaryota; Metazoa; Chordata; Mammalia; Carnivora; Canidae
Description: lncRNA (ENSCAFG00030020711.1)
Source: RNAcentral
CGUGAAGCUGUAAACAUGAGCUGGCAUUUUGUUUUAUUUUGUGUCAUAAACUGUGCUUUUCACAGCAGCGGGCCCUGGGGGAGUCUCGAGUAGCCCUGCGGGGCUGCAGCUGGGGGUGUGGCCCGGCUCCAUCCGCAGGCGACCUGGAGACCCCAGCUGCGGCGGCAGAAGGGCCAGAGCCUUCCGUCUGGGCUGCACGCUUUCAAGUUCACCCCCCCCACAACACGUUGAGUCAUCUCCACAAGCCAGAACCCCUCAGAUGGAGGUUCCUGGAGGUUCCGCUCUUCCUCCGCCGGCGGUUCCUCCGGGGGUGGGGACACCGACACCCACGUGUGGCUCGGGACACUUUGGGUGCGGUGCCCGAACCGCCCGCGGUGCGGCUGAUGCACGUGCUCGCAGGUGCACGGAGGCUACCGGGUGCUAAGCCCACGGUUGCGCUGUGUUUCGUGCUUGGAUCCCCCCCCCCCAUUAUGGUUUCUGGGGCUCUCGGUCCGCUCCGACCUAGAGGAAUACGCCCCCCCAAUCCAGGGGGGGUACCCUGAGCCCCGCUCACCCCCACUUACGGUCUCCCGGAGGAAACUGUGGGCCUGGGCUUCGUGUCUGCCUGGACUACAAGUACAUUCGUGUCUCAUGUGCGACUGGUGCACCCAAGGCUGGUGGCCUGUGAAGCAGGAAUGGGCCUAUCAUCAGUCCACAAGAGCGACUAAUAAAGCUGGACAACGUGUUUUGCCUGUUUGUGAGAAGCUCCGAGAGUAUCUUCCCAGAGCCGCCGAGCCAGGAGCCCAGUCAUCAGCCAGACUGCAUGACCGCCCCUUCAAGGUGGCCUCAGUCGCCUUUCUCGCCACAAGGAAGCGCGACCCCUUGACCCACCUUCGGAUGAGCCAACGGGUGUCCCACGCUUGCAGAAAAAAUGAAAUCAGCCCACAUAUAUCGAUUGCAAGCAAUCUUAGCAAAGCACUCUGCUAG